UGGAGGAUGCGCCGUCCUGGAGGGUGAUGGCAAAUCAUCGAAAGACCGCCCUGCGGAAACCCCCGAGCGGUUCGGAAAACCGGGUACUCUCUCUCUCCCCCGUCGCCGUCGCCGCCGUCGUCGUCGUCUCCACCUCCUUUCCACGGCCGCAUCCCACCUCCACCCAACCUGAAAGCGACGCUGCCGCACAGGAGAAGGGAAGGGAAGGACCUCUCCCGGUCGUCGCGACCGCGCCUGCCCUCCUCUCCCCUCGCGCCACCG
RNAcentral lists this long non-coding RNA (261 nucleotides) under Oryza brachyantha (malo sina). RNAcentral's name for it is "long non-coding RNA (OBRA_LNC002713)". The record is from RNAcentral. Lineage: Eukaryota; Viridiplantae; Streptophyta; Magnoliopsida; Poales; Poaceae.